AGAGAGAGACAUGCGCGCAUAUCAAUAAGCGGAGGAAAAGAAACUAACAAGGAUUCCCCUAGUAACGGCGAGUGAAGCGGGAAGAGCUCAAAUUUGAAAUCUUAAAGGGUUUCCCUUUACGAAUUGUAGUUUAAAGAAGUGUUUUCUGUUGAGGUUUUGGUAAAAGUUCUUUGGAAUAGGACAUCAUAGAGGGUGAGAAUCCCGUAUUUGACCAUUACUUUCCAACUUUGUGAUACACUUUCAAAGAGUCGGAUUGUUUGGGAAUGCAGUCCAAAAUGGGUGGUAAAUUUCAUCUAAAGCUAAAUAUUGGCGAGAGACCGAUAGCGAACAAGUACCGUGAGGGAAAGAUGAAAAGAACUUUGAAAAGAGAGUUAAACAGUACGUGAAAUUGUCAAAAGGGAAGCGUUUGACACCAGUGUUGUUUUUCUGAAAAUCAAUUAAAGAACUGUUUAUGCUAAGUUGUUUAGACUUUAUCAGCUAUCUGUUUAGUUUUGAGCUUUUCUUUAAUGCACUUUUCAGUUAACAAGUCAACAUCAAUUUCUUUUGCUGUAAAAAAGCUUGAGGAAGGUGGCUUGAGAUUCGUCUUAAGUGUUUAUAGCCUCUUGCCUAUGCAGUCGGAGAGAUUGAGGUCUGCAGCGUAGAUCCUUCGGGGCUAAAUGCAUUUGUGCUAAGUUAUAGCAUUUUAUAGACAACUUGUUGACUAUGAUUUGUCUUGUAGCUUACUCGCUUAUGUUAUUUUACCUACGCUUAGGAUGUUGAGCGCAUGUCUCUCUCU
Molecule: ribosomal RNA, 775 nt
Filed under: uncultured Neocallimastigales
Lineage: Eukaryota; Fungi; Neocallimastigomycota; Neocallimastigomycetes; Neocallimastigales
Description: partial large subunit ribosomal RNA
Rfam family: Eukaryotic large subunit ribosomal RNA
Source: RNAcentral